This 497-nucleotide ribosomal RNA is filed under the name uncultured bacterium. Its description in RNAcentral is "partial 16S ribosomal RNA". It matches the Rfam family "Bacterial small subunit ribosomal RNA", at positions 28 to 507 of the family's 1533-position model. The record is from RNAcentral.
GAUGAACGCUGGCGGCGUGCCUAAUACAUGCAAGUCGAGCGAACAGACGAGGAGCUUGCUCCUCUGACGUUAGCGGCGGACGGGUGAGUAACACGUGGAUAACCUACCUAUAAGACUGGGAUAACUUCGGGAAACCGGAGCUAAUACCGGAUAAUAUAUUGAACCGCAUGGUUCAAUAGUGAAAGACGGUUUUGCUGUCACUUAUAGAUGGAUCCGCGCCGCAUUAGCUAGUUGGUAAGGUAACGGCUUACCAAGGCAACGAUGCGUAGCCGACCUGAGAGGGUGAUCGGCCGCACUGGAACUGAGACACGGUCCAGGCUCCUACGGGAGGCAGCAGUAGCGAAUCUUCCGCAAUGGGCGAAAGCCUGACGGAGCAACGCCGCGUGAGUGAUGAAGGUCUUCGGAUCGUAAAACUCUGUUAUUAGGGAAGAACAAAUGUGUAAGUAACUAUGCACGUCUUGACGGUACCUAAUCAGAAAGCCACGGCUAACUACGUG